RNAcentral lists this ribosomal RNA (1396 nucleotides) under uncultured bacterium. Its description in RNAcentral is "bacterial SSU rRNA". It matches the Rfam family "Bacterial small subunit ribosomal RNA". The record is from RNAcentral.
AGAGUUUGAUCCUGGCUCAGGACGAACGCUGGCGGCGUGCCUAACACAUGCAAGUCGAACGGAGAAUUAAGACGGAGGAUUCGUGUGAAGACUUUUGAAACUUAGUGGCGAACGGGUGAGUAACGCGUGAGCAACCUGCCUUUCAGUGGGGGACAACAGUUGGAAACGACUGCUAAUACCGCAUAACAUACUGAGAUGGCAUCAUUCUGAAUACCAAAGCUUUAUGUGCUGAAAGAUGACCUCGCGUCUGAUUAGCUAGUUGGUGGGGUAACGGCCCACCAAGGCGACGAUCAGUAGCCGGACUGAGAGGAUGAACGGCCACAUUGGGACUGAGAUACGGCCCAGACUCCUACGGGAGGCAGCAGUGAGGAAUAUUGGUCAAUCUGCGAAAGCGGGAACCAGCAACGCCGCGUGAAGGAAGAAGGCCCUCGGGUUGUAAACUUCUUUAGGGGAAGACGAGAAAGGACGGUAUUCCCAAAAUAAGCAACGGCAAACUACGUGCCAGCAGCCGCGGUAAUACGUAGGUUGCAAGCGUUGUCCGGAUUUACUGGGUGUAAAGGGCGUGUAGGCGGAACUGCAAGUCGGAAGUGAAAUCCCGGGGCUCAACCCCGGAACUGCAUUCAAAACUGUAGCCCUUGAGUAUCGGAGAGGCAAGCGGAAUUCCUAGUGUAGCGGUGAAAUGCGUAGAUAUUAGGAGGAACACCAGUGGCGAAGGCGGCUUGCUGGACGACAACUGACGCUGAGGCGCGAAAGCGUGGGGAGCAAACAGGAUUAGAUACCCUGGUAGUCCACGCCGUAAACGAUGAAAACUAGGUGUGGGAAGACUGACCCCUCCCGUGCCGCAGUUAACACAAUAAGUAUUCCACCUGGGGGAGUACGGACCGCAAGGUUGAAACUCAAAGGAAUUGACGGGGGCCCGCACAAGCAGUGGAUUAUGUGGUUUAAUUCGAAGCAACGCGAAGAACCUUACCAGGACUUGACAUCCAACUAACCGAACUAAAAAGACAUUAGGUGCCCUUCGGGGAAAGUGAAGACAGGUGGUGCAUGGUUGUCGUCAGCUCGUGUCGUGAGAUGUUGGGUUAAGUCCCGCAACGAGCGCAACCCCUAUUGUUAGUGGGCUACGCAAGAGCACUCUAGCGAGACUGCCCGUGGACAAAACGGAGGAAGGUCGGGGACGACGUCAAAUCAUCAUGCCCCUUAUGUCCUGGGCUACACACGUAAUACAAUGGCCGUAAACAAAGGGGAGCGAAAGCCGCGAGGUGGAGCAAAUCCCAAAAAAGUCGUCUCAGUUCGGAUUGCAGGCUGCAACUCGCCUGCAUGAAGCUGGAAUUGCUAGUAAUCGCGGAUCAGCAUGCCACGGUGAAUACGUUCCCGGGCCUUGCACACACCGCCCGUC